This 245-nucleotide unclassified non-coding RNA is filed under the name Basidiomycota sp. RNAcentral describes it as "partial contains small subunit ribosomal RNA and internal transcribed spacer 1". The stretch from base 1 to 47 matches the Rfam family "Eukaryotic small subunit ribosomal RNA", at positions 1785 to 1831 of the family's 1831-position model. The record is from RNAcentral. Lineage: Eukaryota; Fungi; Basidiomycota.
AAAGUCGUAACAAGGUUUCCGUAGGUGAACCUGCAGAAGGAUCAUUACUGCUUGCUUAUAGCCAUCUGGGUGGGGAAACCCCCUCAACAGUACAGCAACAUACCCUUAACUAUGUAUACCUAUCAUUAUUUCCCUCGGCAGAGCAAUCCGCCGCUAGGGACACCACAAACUCUUAUAUAAAGCAUUUAAAAUUCUAAAACAAACUUAAAAUAUCACAACUUUCAACAAUAGAUCUCUUAGUUCUA